This 253-nucleotide ribosomal RNA is filed under the name uncultured bacterium. RNAcentral describes it as "partial 16S ribosomal RNA". It matches the Rfam family "Bacterial small subunit ribosomal RNA", at positions 524 to 776 of the family's 1533-position model. The record is from RNAcentral.
UACGUAGGGAGCAAGCGUUGUCCGGAAUCAUUGGGCGUAAAGCGCGUGUAGGCGGUUCGAUAAGUCUGCUGUGAAAGUCCAGGGCUCAACCCUGGGAUGCCGGUGGAUACUGUCGGACUAGAGUACGGAAGAGGCGAGUGGAAUUCCCGGUGUAGCGGUGAAAUGCGCAGAUAUCGGGAGGAACACCAAUUGCGAAGGCAGCUCGCUGGGACGUCACUGACGCUGAGACGCGAAAGCGUGGGGAGCAAACAGG